This 536-nucleotide long non-coding RNA is filed under the name Homo sapiens (human). RNAcentral's name for it is "long non-coding RNA NONHSAT180004.1". The record is from RNAcentral. Lineage: Eukaryota; Metazoa; Chordata; Mammalia; Primates; Hominidae.
AGUGUGUAAGACGCUCACGGGCGCGCGGACUAUCGGGCGGCUAGGCUCUCUGAGGAGGCUGCCACAGUGAAGCAACCGUGACAAGUGGUGCCCGACCAGGGACCUGAACGAGGAAGGUCUGCCAGAGCAGAGAAAGUGAAACUGAUCAGACGAACUACGAACCCCUGGACGGGAGAGUCUGCCGGCGGAGAAUAUAAGACCCCAGCAGAACGACACUGGCAACUGCUAGAGGAAAAGAGGAGAUGGACAAACCGUGUGGGUGCCCUCCAGGUGUGUGUGACCAUGGAACGGGAGACCGGAGGGAUCCAUGGUAUUCAACCGUGGGCCUGUUACCUCCAGUACGAGCCAUGAGCCAGCGGAAUCUGAAUGCAAAGACAGAACAAGGGCCGACCGGAGUCACAAUGACAUCCAACCCCAUAACAUGGGGACAGAUCAAGAAAACGACACAAGAAGCUGAGAAACUACUGGAGCGCCAGGGUCAGGCAAAAACCCCUGACUCCAUGUUCUUGGCCAUGCUAGCUGUAGUGUCCUGUGCG